UUAAAAAGCUCGUAGUUGGAUUUCUGUCGGUGAAUAUCAGUCCGCCCACAGCGGUAGGUACGUGAUAUUUCACCGGCAUCUUCCUGGGGAAUGUGUCUGCUCUUUAUUGAGUGGUACAUAAGCCAGGACUUUUACUUUGAAGAAAUGAGAGUGUUUCAAGCAGGCAUGCGCCGUGAAUACGUUAGCAUGGGAUAAUAGCAUCGGACCUCGUUCCAAAGCUGUUGGUUUCUUGGACCGAGGUAAAGGUGAAUAGGGAUUGUUGGGGGCAUUCGUAUUUGACUGUCAGAGGUGAAAUUCUUGGAUUUGUUGAAGACGGACUACUGCGAAAGCAUCUGCCAAAGAUGUUCUCAUUGAUCAAGAACGAAAGUUAGGUGAUCGAAGACGAUCAGAUACCGUCCUAGUCUUAACCAUAAACUAUGCCGACUGGAGAUCGGGGGUCGUUAAUUAUGUGACGCCCUCUGCAUCUUGAGAGAAAUCAAAGUCUUUGGGUUCCGGGGGGAGUAUGGUCGCAAGGCUGAAACUUAAAGGAAUUGACGGAAGGGCACCACCAGGAGUGGAGCCUGCGGCUUAAUUUGACUCAACACGGGGAAACUUACCAGGUCCAGACAUAGUAAGGAUUGACAGACUGAUAGCUCUUUCGAGAUUCUAUGGGUGGGGGUGCAUGGCCGUUCUUAAUUGGUGGAGUGAUUUGUCUGGUUAAUUCCGUUAACGAACGAGACCUUAGCCUGCUAAAUAGGAUCCCCAACCUUCGGGUAGGAGGAGGCCUUCUUAGAGGGACGUCGUGUGUCUAACACGAGGAAGUGUGAGGCAAUAACAGGUCUGUGAUGCCCUUAGAUGUUCUGGGCUGCACGCGCGCUACACUGAUGCGUUCAACGAGUUUUUACCUUUUCCGGAAGGAACGGGCAACCUUGUGAAAGCGCAUCGUGAUGGGGAUAGAUUAUUGCAAUUUUUAAUCUUC
RNAcentral lists this ribosomal RNA (958 nucleotides) under uncultured eukaryote. Its description in RNAcentral is "SSU rRNA". It matches the Rfam family "Eukaryotic small subunit ribosomal RNA", at positions 619 to 1601 of the family's 1831-position model. The record is from RNAcentral.